Molecule: unclassified non-coding RNA, 216 nt
Filed under: uncultured fungus
Lineage: Eukaryota; Fungi
Description: sequence contains ITS1, 5.8S rRNA gene
Source: RNAcentral
UGGAAAGUCCUCUACUCAGAGGCAAACAGUGCGCCUAUGGCGUAUCACCAUUGUGUUUUGUUUCGUUUGUUUCGGCGGGUCGAACAUUUGGCUGGGCGAGGAGUGGGUUUCUACUCCUUGUCCAACUAAAUCGCCAGCCCGCCAAACGCUUCUAUCACACCUUUGAUACCUUUUCUGAUCUCUUAUUUGACGGCUUCGGCCGUCUUCAAAUCAAUA